CCUACGGGAGGCAGCAGUGAGGAAUAUUGCGCAAUGGACGAAAGUCUGACGCAGCGACGCCGCGUGGGUGAUGAAGGUUUUCGGAUCGUAAAGCCCUUUUCUAGGUGACGAGACAAGGACGGUAGCCUAGGAAUGAGUGUCGGCUAACUACGUGCCAGCAGCCGCGGUGG
RNAcentral lists this ribosomal RNA (170 nucleotides) under uncultured bacterium. Its description in RNAcentral is "partial 16S ribosomal RNA". It matches the Rfam family "Bacterial small subunit ribosomal RNA", at positions 338 to 523 of the family's 1533-position model. The record is from RNAcentral.